RNAcentral lists this transfer RNA (89 nucleotides) under Betaproteobacteria bacterium. RNAcentral's name for it is "tRNA-Ser". It matches the Rfam family "tRNA". Rfam says of the family: Transfer RNA (tRNA) molecules are approximately 80 nucleotides in length. Their secondary structure includes four short double-helical elements and three loops (D, anti-codon, and T loops). The record is from RNAcentral. Lineage: Bacteria; Pseudomonadati; Pseudomonadota; Betaproteobacteria.
GGAAGGGUGGCAGAGCGGUCGAAUGCACCGGUCUUGAAAACCGGAAGCCAGCCAGUGGCUCGUGGGUUCGAAUCCCACCCCUUCCGCCA